GUGGGGAAUUUUGGACAAUGGGGGCAACCCUGAUCCAGCAAUGCCGCGUGCAGGAAGAAGGCCUUCGGGUUGUAAACUGCUUUUGUACGGAACGAAAAGGCUCUGGUUAAUACCUGGGGCACAUGACGGUACCGUAAGAAUAAGCACCGGCUAACUACGUGCCAGCAGCCGCGGUAAUACGUAGGGUGCAAGCGUUAAUCGGAAUUACUGGGCGUAAAGCGUGCGCAGGCGGUGCUGUAAGACAGGCGUGAAAUCCCCGGGCUUAACCUGGGAAUGGCGCUUGUGACUGCAGUGCUGGAGUGUGGCAGAGGGGGAUGGAAUUCCGCGUGUAGCAGUGAAAUGCGUAGAUAUGCGGAGGAACACCGAUGGCGAAGGCAAUCCCCUGGGCCUGCACUGACACUGAGGCUCGAAAGCGUGGGUAGCAAACAGGAUUAGAAACCCUGGUAGUCC
RNAcentral lists this ribosomal RNA (450 nucleotides) under uncultured bacterium. RNAcentral describes it as "partial 16S ribosomal RNA". It matches the Rfam family "Bacterial small subunit ribosomal RNA", at positions 354 to 796 of the family's 1533-position model. The record is from RNAcentral.